CUGUGCUUCUUCUUUUAUUUUGAGAUUAAGAUGUGUCCUUGUUCUUGCAGGAGUACCUCCAUUUCUUCUGUAACCCUCCACUCUGCCACAGAGACAUCAAGUCGAGCAACAUUCUUUUGGACGAAAACUUUGUUGCCAAGGUUGCUGAUUUCGGCCUUGCGCACGCAUCGAGAACUGGUGCUAUCAGCUUUGAAGCUGUCAACAAAGAUGUACGCGGAACUCCAGGUUUGAAUUUCGCCUGUAGACCUGAACUGUUUGGAAGUUAGUUUGUGUCUCCCACUAUGGAUAGCAGAAGGUCACUGAGUGAGUAAGUGGAGCAAGUACUAUCAAACAUAGACAAGAACUCGUGCAGAAAUGCAGUAUAGUUUUUCCUUUUUCUCAUUUUCUUAGUGGAAGAAA
This is a non-coding RNA of Aegilops tauschii subsp. strangulata, 399 nucleotides long. The record is from RefSeq and is a predicted model, not a curated record. NCBI's taxonomy places the organism in Eukaryota, Viridiplantae, Streptophyta, Magnoliopsida, Poales, Poaceae.